Molecule: ribosomal RNA, 255 nt
Filed under: uncultured bacterium
Lineage: Bacteria
Description: partial 16S ribosomal RNA
Rfam family: Bacterial small subunit ribosomal RNA
Source: RNAcentral
UACGUAGGGUGCAAGCGUUUGUCCGGAAUUAUUGGGCGUAAAGGGCGCGUAGGCGGCUUUUCAAGUGACGGGUGAAAUCCCUCGGCUUAACCGAGGAACUGCCUGUCAGACUGGAAGGCUUGAGACCGGGAGAGGUGAGUGGAAUUCCCAGUGUAGCGGUGAAAUGCGUAGAUAUUGGGAGGAACACCAGUGGCGAAGGCGGCUCACUGGACCGGAACUGACGCUGAGGCGCGAAAAGCGUGGGGAGCAAACAGG